Molecule: ribosomal RNA, 460 nt
Filed under: uncultured bacterium
Lineage: Bacteria
Description: partial 16S ribosomal RNA
Rfam family: Bacterial small subunit ribosomal RNA
Source: RNAcentral
CCUACGGGAGGCUGCAGUGAGGAAUAUUGGUCAAUGGACGAGAGUCUGAACCAGCCAAGUAGCGUGAAGGAUGACUGCCCUAUGGGUUGUAAACUUCUUUUAUAAAGGAAUAAAACGAGGCACGUGUGCCUUUUUGCAUGUACUUUAUGAAUAAGGAUCGGCUAACUCCGUGCCAGCAGCCGCGGUAAUACGGAGGAUCCGAGCGUUAUCCGGAUUUAUUGGGUUUAAAGGGUGCGUAGAUGGGUUGUUAAGUCAGUUGUGAAAGGUUGCGGCUCAACCGUAAAAGUGCAAUUGAUACUGGCAGUCUUGAGUACAGUUGAGGUAGGCGGAAUUCGUGGUGUAGCGGUGAAAUGCUUAGAUAUCACGAAGAACCCCGAUUGCGAAGGCAGCUUACUAAACUGGGACUGACAUUGAUGCUCGAAAGUGUGGGUAUCAAACAGGAUUAGAUACCCUUGUAGUC